GAUGAACGCUAGCGGCAGGCUUAAUACAUGCAAGUCGAGGGGCAGCACGAAUAGCAAUAUUUGGUGGCGACCGGCGCACGGGUGCGUAACACGUAUACAACCUACCUAUAACAGGGGGAUAGCCUUUCGAAAGAGAGAUUAAUACCCCGUAAUAAAUUGAGUGGCAUCACUUGAUUUUGAAAGCUACGGCGGUUAUAGAUGGGUAUGCGUCUGAUUAGCUAGUUGGUGAGGUAACGGCUCACCAAGGCGACGAUCAGUAGGGGAUCUGAGAGGACUAACCCCCACACUGGUACUGAGACACGGACCAGACUCCUACGGGAGCAGCAGUAAGGAAUAUUGGUCAAUGGAGGCAACUCUGAACCAGCCAUGCCGCGUGCAGGAUGACGGCCCUAUGGGUUGUAAACUGCUUUUGACCAGAGAAAACCUACUCACGUGUGAGUAGCUGAUAGUAUGGUAAGAAUAAGCAAUCGGCUAACUUCGUGCCAGCACG
Molecule: ribosomal RNA, 490 nt
Filed under: uncultured bacterium
Lineage: Bacteria
Description: bacterial SSU rRNA
Rfam family: Bacterial small subunit ribosomal RNA
Source: RNAcentral